AGGCAGGCAGCGGAACCACUGAGCUAAAUUCCCAGCCCCUAUCCAAUUUCUGUUGACUCAAAGAAUGCACUGGUGAAAUCACUGGGACUGAGUAUUUGCUCUGUGGAAGGUUUAAACCCAUUCAAAUUGUGCUUGCUGCUCGCUUUGGCAGCACAUAUACUAAAUCCAUUCAAAUUAUUUAAUUUUCAGGCUUUUUAUAUUUUUCUUCAGGCAGUUCUGGCAAAAUAUAUUUCUCUAGGAAUCUAUUUUUUUCUCUCUUUUUUUUUUUUCUUUGUGUGGAACAGGGGAUAGAACCCAGGGCUUUGUGGUUCCUGGGCUCUACAACUGAGCUGUAUCUUCAGCUCUGCAAUCUAUUAAUUUUCUAUAAGUUCUCAUAUCUACUGACAGUUAGUGUAAUAACUCUUAUCUAUUUAUUCUCUAGCAUAUUGGGCACAAUGUGUUUUUUGUAUCUCUUCUAAUAUUAUUUAUGCAUUCUGUGUUUUGGGGUUUUUUUUGGUACCAGGGAUCAAACUUGGGACCUUGUGCUUGCAAGGCAGGCAGCAGAACCACUGAGCUAAAUCCCAGGCCCUCCUUCCUUCUAUUUCCCUUAGGUUUAUUCUUUUGAGUUUCUAACUUCUAAGUUCCUUAUUUUGAGACUUUUUUAAUGGUUUUUUUGAGAUAGGGUCUCAGCAUGUAGUUCAGGCUGGCCUUGAACUCACUAUGUAGCUCAGGCUGGCCUUGAACUUGUGCAGAUCCUCCUGUCAAGUGCUGGCAUUACUAGCAUAUUUUGAGUCUUAGUUAUUUCUUAAUGUAAACACUACUCUUAUAAAUUUCCUCCUAAGUACUACUUUAGUUGUAUCUCAUAGGUUUUUUGUUUUGUUUUGGUACUGGGGAUCGAACUCAGGUCCUUGCACUUGCAAAGCAGGCAGCGGAACCACUGAGCUAAAUCCCUGGCCCCUCAUAGGUUAUGAUAUACAUUAUUCUCAUCAUUUAUUUUUAAGAAUUUUCUAAUUUCUAUUAUGAUUUCUUCUUUGACCCACGUUAUUGAACGUGCAUUUAAAAAUUUUCCAAACAUACAUUUUCUCCCCUGUAAUUAUCCUUUUUUGUAACUGGUUUCUAAUUUAAUUGCAUUUAGAUAUUUGUGAGGCUAACUUUAUAGUUGGGCACGUGAUCAAUUUUUUGGAAAUGUUCCAUGUGUACUUGAAAAGACAGUUUAUUCUCUAAUUGUUAGAAAUAAUGUUAUUUCUAUUAAGCCAGAUUAUUAAUUGUGGUAUUCAAAAUAUUUUAUAUGGGGGUAUAGCUCAGGGGCAGAGCAUUUGACUGCAAAAUAUUUUACAUAGUUCAUGACUUUGGUGGUCUAUUUGAACUGUCAAAUACUGGAGGAGUUUGUUAAUAUACCCCCUAUGAUAAUGGAUUAAUCAAUUUUUGCUUUUAUGUAUUUUAUAAAAGGCUUUAAAUUUUUAAAUUUUAUGUACAAAAAUCUAGUAUGGUCUUUUCCUUUGGGUGGAUGUCUAGGAUGAUCCACUGGAGGAAGAUAACUUAAUACAACUUCCUUAUAUCCUUCAAGUACUGAUGGAAAACUCCUGGUCAUAUUUCUAAAUCAGACAGAUAGAUUUGAGCAAAUGCAGCAAGAGCAUGAACCCUGGUGAAAUUUUUCAACACAUAAUGCUGGGAGAACUGAGUAUCAACAUGCAGAGAAUGAAGUUGAACCCUUACUUCACACUAUGUGCAAAAAGUAACUCAUGUAGAUCAGUGACAUAAAGGGUCUUGCUAAGUCACUAAGUUGCCCAGGCUGACCUCAAACUCACAGCAAUCCUCCUGCCUCAGCCGCUUAAAUGCUGGGAUCCUAGGCUGUGCUACCGUGCCUGGCUCUCCUGAGGGUUUCUGGUUAACAAAGCAAGUAUUGUUUUACAUAGGCUAAGGUCUUCUAAACAUAGCGUAAACCCAUUCUCAUCCUCAUCUGAAAAAGAGGUGUUCCUUCUUAAUUUUCCUAACACUGCCAAUAAAUAUUCUAUAUGAUCAACCCCCAAUUUUAUAUGGAUAGUGAUUUUUUCUUACCUCUUUUAUUGAACUUGCUUUCUAAUGACCAGAAUAAUACAUUCCUUAUACAAGUGAAAGUUUAAAUACAUAAAAGUUAUUCUCAUCCUACCAUCCAUAGAUAAUCUAUCUCUCUCUGGUAUAUGUAAUUUUGCAUAUGGAAAUAUUCAAAUUAUUUUAAUAUGCCAGAAAUAUUAUAUACUUUUUGUUUUAUAAUAGAUCUUUAAAUUUAAAAUAAUGUGAAUUUCAUUUUUAAUGACUUUGUAGAAUCAAACUGUAUAGCAUAAUGGAGUCAACCAUUUUAUUAGAUCUUUUUCUCUAUAUGUUAUAGAUGCUUGUAGAUUUUUUUUAAUUUUUAUUUUUCUUUGGUACUGGGGAUCGAACUCAGGUCUUUGUACUUGAGCAGCAGGCAGCAAAACCACUGAGCUAAAUCCCAGGCCCUCUUGUAGAUAUUUUUGUGUUGAUGUCUCAUUACUUUUAUUUUUUUUUGAGACGGAGUCCUGCUUUGUAGUUCACACUGGACUUGAACUCACUAUGUAGCUCACACUGGCCUCAAAUUCAUGGCAAUCUUCCUGCCUCAGCCUCCCAAGUGCUGGGAUCAUAGGUGUGGGCCAUCAAAUCUGGCUAAUUUUUAAUUAAUUAAUUAAUUAUUUUGAGAUAGGGUCUCACUAUGUAGCCCAGGCUGGCCUUGAACUCUUGUGAUCCUCCUGCCUCAGCCUCCUGAGUGCUGGGAUUACAGGCAAGUGCCACCAUGCCUGGCUUACUUUGGUUUUUUUUUUUUUUUGGUACUGGGAAUCGAACUAAGGUCUUUCCGCUUUUGAGGCAGGCAGCGAAACCACUGAGCUAAAUCCCCAGCCCUUACUUUGGUUUUUUACCUCAUGUCGUUUUUCUAUUCCAGGAUACCACAUUGCAUUUAAUCCUCAUGUCUUAGACUCCUCUUGGCUAUGACAGCUUCUUAGACUUCUUUCAUUUUUGAUAACCUUUACAAUUUUGAGAAGUAUUGGUCAGGUAUUCAUUGUAGUAUAUUCAUUAGGAUUUUUCUGAUUUUCUUCAUGACUAGGCUGGGGUUAUAGAUUUUGGGGAAGAAGACCAGAGAGAUAAAGUGCUAUUGUCACUAUACAACACCAAGAAUGCAUGCUAUCAACAUGACAUCACUUGCUGAGAUAAUGUUUGUCAUUUUAUUCAUUAUAAAAUUGCUCUCUUCCCUUGCCCCCUUUCCAUGUGUACUCCUUGGAAGGGUGUCACUGUGCACAGCUUACCCUUAAGGAGAGAGAAGUCAAUGAUCUCUUAA
Molecule: long non-coding RNA, 3307 nt
Filed under: Heterocephalus glaber (naked mole-rat)
Lineage: Eukaryota; Metazoa; Chordata; Mammalia; Rodentia; Bathyergidae
Description: lncRNA (ENSHGLG00100034808.1)
Source: RNAcentral